This 110-nucleotide microRNA precursor is filed under the name Pinus densata. RNAcentral's name for it is "miR949b stem-loop (pde-MIR949b)". Its record names the gene pde-MIR949b. It matches the Rfam family "MIR949 microRNA precursor family". The record is from miRBase by way of RNAcentral. Lineage: Eukaryota; Viridiplantae; Streptophyta; Pinopsida; Pinales; Pinaceae.
AGAGCCUCUCCGGGAAUCCAAUGCGCCUUCCUCUUGAACGCCUUUCAACGCGCAGACUGUGCGUGAAAACGCUUUUAGGAGGAAGGUGUAUUGAUUUCCGGGGAAGCCCU